This 253-nucleotide ribosomal RNA is filed under the name uncultured bacterium. Its description in RNAcentral is "partial 16S ribosomal RNA". It matches the Rfam family "Bacterial small subunit ribosomal RNA", at positions 524 to 776 of the family's 1533-position model. The record is from RNAcentral.
UACGAAGGGGGCGAGCGUUGUUCGGAAUUACUGGGCGUAAAGGGCGCGUAGGCGGCCGAUCAAGUUAGAUGUGAAAGUCCUGGGCUUAACCUGGGGACUGCAUUUGAUACUGGAUGGCUUGAAUCCGGGAGAGGGAUGCGGAAUUCCAGGUGUAGCGGUGAAAUGCGUAGAUAUCUGGAGGAACACCGGUGGCGAAGGCGGCAUCCUGGACCGGCAUUGACGCUGAUGAGCGAAAGCCAGGGGAGCAAACGGG